RNAcentral lists this long non-coding RNA (348 nucleotides) under Erythranthe guttata (spotted monkey flower). RNAcentral describes it as "long non-coding RNA (EGUT_LNC000989)". The record is from RNAcentral. Lineage: Eukaryota; Viridiplantae; Streptophyta; Magnoliopsida; Lamiales; Phrymaceae.
CUAUUGCGAUGUGUCGGACCAUGGUUUGGCGAUGGUGAGUACCGAGGGUUUCCUUCGGUACUAUGAUCGUGCUCGAAUGUCUGGUAAGGGUUAUUGGCGGAGACUUAUGACGGGUGAGUGUUUGUUUUAAAACUAGAUUUUAUUCUUAUUUCCCUUUUUUGCUUGUGUAAGCGAUUUUUGUUGUAUUUAUAUAGGCGCUAGCUACUUGGAGGUACCUCAUGGAGCAAGAUGGGAAAGCGGAAGCUAGAAAAGAAGAGGAGCGGGCUCGAAGUCAGGCGCGUGAAGAUGAACUUCGAAGCCAGUUGGAGAUAGCGCAGUCCGAUCUCGCUCAAAGGACGGAGCAGCUUG